GAGCACUGUUCGUGACCUGCUGGUCUGCCUGUGGCUGGCGGGUUCCAUUCCGGUGCCAUAGCAGCUCCAGCACCACGUGACUGACUGCCUGGAGGCUCGGUUUAAGGUCUUGGAGACAAAG
RNAcentral lists this small nucleolar RNA (121 nucleotides) under Bos grunniens (domestic yak). The record is from RNAcentral. Lineage: Eukaryota; Metazoa; Chordata; Mammalia; Artiodactyla; Bovidae.